This is a long non-coding RNA of Ruditapes philippinarum (Manila clam), 383 nucleotides long. RefSeq lists it as uncharacterized. The transcript is spliced from 2 exons. NCBI's taxonomy places the organism in Eukaryota, Metazoa, Mollusca, Bivalvia, Venerida, Veneridae. The record is from RefSeq and is a predicted model, not a curated record.
GCAGUUUGUACUGUUGUUGGUAUUAUCAUAAAUAUAUGGCAGCAAUACGACUAGGGGAGACGCCAUUUAUGGGAUUCCUACCUUGUGCAACAUUUGCAUUGAGGGUGAAAGUUAGAACGUUAUUUGGAGUUAAGGGUUCAAUUGUUGAAGAUUUUCUAUCAACUCUGUUUUGUGAACCCUGUGCAAUAUGUCAGAUGUCUAGGGAGUUGGACGACGUGGGACUAUAAACAAAUAUAUAAAAUAAUGUGAAUUAUAACGUUUUAAUAAAUUAAGCCGCUUAUAGCGUUGUAAAUAAUUUCAUAAUUUUAUGUGUACAUGUGUGUCUUUUUUUAUUAUAUAAAUGGUAAUGAAUGGAAUAAUUGUGAAAUAAAAAAAUAAACUAG